Long non-coding RNA from Carassius gibelio (silver crucian carp), 341 nucleotides. RefSeq lists it as uncharacterized. The record is from RefSeq and is a predicted model, not a curated record. Lineage: Eukaryota; Metazoa; Chordata; Actinopteri; Cypriniformes; Cyprinidae. The transcript is spliced from 2 exons.
GUGAUUCAGCUAACCUCAAAUCUGCACUGCUUGUUUCAGAUGUCUCAUCUUCAGGCUUUUGAGUCUCUACAGAACUGUUUGACCUCAGUUGUUCAUAAUAAGUCUCAGAGGAUGAAUGGCGUGUCUCAGUUGAUCACCAUAUCGUCUAUAAACCGUGGACGAUGAUGGAUCACACACCUUAUAAGAUACAGGCCCAGUCUGCUGCACAACCACUCCAGGAAAUCCAACCUGGUGCGAAUAUGUCUCUUCAGAAAUAGGACAUAGGUCAGACGGUGACUUACCUGUGGUACAAUUUGGGGUGGUACUAUAGCACAACACAAAUAAAGAUAUUUUAUCAUCAA